GACGAACGCUGGCGGCGUGCCUAAUACAUGCAAGUCGAACGCUUCUUUCCUCCCGAGUGCUUGCACUCAAUUGGAAAGAGGAGUGGCGGACGGGUGAGUAACACGUGGGUAACCUACCCAUCAGAGGGGGAUAACACUUGGAAACAGGUGCUAAUACCGCAUAACAGUUUAUGCCGCAUGGCAUAAGAGUGAAAGGCGCUUUCGGGUGUCGCUGAUGGAUGGACCCGCGGUGCUUUAGCUAGUUGGUGAGGUAACGGCUCACCAAGGCCACGAUGCAUAGCCGACCUGAGAGGGUGAUCGGCCACACUGGGACUGAGACACGGCCCAGACUCCUACGGGAGGCAGCAGUAGGGAAUCUUCGGCAAUGGACGAAAGUCUGACCGAGCAACGCCGCGUGAGUGAAGAAGGUUUUCGGAUCGUAAAACUCUGUUGUUAGAGAAGAACAAGGACGUUAGUAACUGAACGUCCCCUGACGGUAUCUAACCAGAAAGCCACGGCUAACUACGUG
RNAcentral lists this ribosomal RNA (508 nucleotides) under uncultured bacterium. RNAcentral describes it as "partial 16S ribosomal RNA". It matches the Rfam family "Bacterial small subunit ribosomal RNA", at positions 28 to 507 of the family's 1533-position model. The record is from RNAcentral.